GGGCAGAGCAGAUGGCUCGAGACUGCUCGAUGGCACCAGAUUAAGGUAACCAAGUGCGCCUUCAUCAUCUUCCUGGGAUGCGAUGACCUCACUCCCUGUCCAGCAGCAGCACUGUCUCUCUGGAGCAUGGGAAAACCCUUCUCUAGAACAUGCUGGAUUCAUGGUUGCACUUUCCACCUUUCCAAGUUUGGCCACAUCUGUGUGUGCUUCCACAUGGCUCAAAUGUAGAAGGGUAAAUUACAGCCUUGUGAAAUGGUCGAUGCUACUCACAAAAUGCUGUCAAACUGAAUUACAGGAGCCUUUGAUGGAGAUAAUAAAGAUCAAAUAACAUUGCCUUCCUUUUCCAGAUGGCAUUUCUUUCCAAGAUUUAGUUUCAAUCAAUACCAUUAUUGCUACCCAUGCAUUUUUGUCAUUCCAACAUCAACAAAAAAUUCUUGUCUUUCUAACUUGUGAGAUAACUGUUUUAGCCAUCAGAAUAUUUUUUUAAUGUAUACUUUUUAGUAGAAAGGUAUUAAUUUUGUAAAUGCUAUGCUUUACCCAACAGAGUCCUUGCUCUUGGAUGUAAGGACGGUGAGUUGUACAAAUAUUUUGCAGCAUCACUGAGCUAGGACUAAAACACUAACACUUUGAGAGAGAAUUAGAUGUUCCAGUUUUUCAGCAUAUUCUUCUUCCUACACAGCAUCACAGUAGCAUGAAUCAUUUUAGAAAUAAUCUGUGAUUAACAAAAUCAUGUCCAAGGCCAAUCCUAGACAAUCCAGGGGAGACUCAGAAGCUCAGUUUUUUCAGGAAUCUCCCAUGAUGUCCCACCAGGUUGCCUCACCAAAUUCUCAGUCAUCAAGCACUUGACGUCUCCAGCUUAUAUUAACCAUGUUUAUCAUUAUUCACAUGAUGUCCUUCCCUUUAAAUUGUAGUCCCCAUUAGAGCAAAGACUACAACUUAUCCAAGCCAUCUAUCUCCCUAGGACCUUGCAGAGUCCCUGGCAUAUACCAAUUGUUUAAUUAAUAUAUAUUGAAUGGAUACAUGAUCAAAGACAGGGUUUUCAUUUCCAGUUUGGGUCACUAUUUUAACUCCUUUGGUUCUAGUCUAGAACAGGCCUACUUGGCAACAAACAGCCCCAAGGUAAGGAAGAGAGAGAGAUGGAGCAAAUUGAAAUCUCUAUAGGGGUCAGGCAGGGCUGGUCAUAGGGUGUAGGAUGAGCCCUGAAAAAAGAGGACGAUUGAGUUCGGUUCAUUGUAGCCAUGUGACAAAUCCAGAUCUUAUUUUGUUUUUCCCAAAGAGAAGAGAUUUCUUAAUUUUCACAUGAAGUUACCAGACUGGCAACACUUUCU
RNAcentral lists this long non-coding RNA (1328 nucleotides) under Bos indicus x Bos taurus (hybrid cattle). RNAcentral describes it as "lncRNA (ENSBIXG00005030916.1)". The record is from RNAcentral. Lineage: Eukaryota; Metazoa; Chordata; Mammalia; Artiodactyla; Bovidae.